Long non-coding RNA from Octopus sinensis (East Asian common octopus), 734 nucleotides. RefSeq lists it as uncharacterized. The record is from RefSeq and is a predicted model, not a curated record. The transcript is spliced from 4 exons. Lineage: Eukaryota; Metazoa; Mollusca; Cephalopoda; Octopoda; Octopodidae.
UUAUCCUCUCAGUCGUUGGAUAUGCUAUUGGAUUAGGAAACAUAUGGAGAUUCCCAUAUCUUGCUUAUACAAAUGGCGGAGGAGCAUUUUUGAUACCUUAUUUGUUAUUCCUAGUUCUCACUGGAAUCCCCAUGUUUUAUCUAGAAUUUUGCAUUGGACAGUUUAGUUCUUGUAGACCAAUUAAUGCAUUUUCUAUGGUACCAAUUUUCAAAGGAAUUGGAAUCUCAAUGGCAGUUAUAUCUGGAUUAGUUACCAUGUAUUAUAAUAUUAUUGUUUCUUACGCACUUAUAUACUUUGUUAAAUCGUUUGCAAGUCAGCUUCCGUGGGAAACGUGCAACAAUUCUUGGAACUCUAUACAUUGUACAGACAGAACACAAAAUAUCACAGUUAAUAUUUCUUUUUUAAAAAUCCCUCAAUUAGGUUAUCAUUGUAUAAAUUAUAUUUUCAGACAAAAUUAAUCAAAAUUUUUUAUGCUUAAAUGAGACAAUUGCAGAUUUCUUAAAACAAAAGAAUAUACAUUCGGAUGCUCUGGUUAAUAAAUUUUGGACUUAUUUCAAUUGCUCAACUUAUAAAAGUAUUUCACCUUCUGAAGAAUUUUGGAAAAAUUACAUCUUACAGCAAUCUAGCAGUAUUUCAGAAACCGGAAAAUUUGUUCCGACUCUUGUCGGAGCUCUUGCUAUAUCGUGGAUUUUACUUUUUCUGUGUCUAUCAAAAGGAAUUCAAUCGAGUGGAAA